AUCGAACCUGCAUCCUCAUGGAUACUAGUCAGAUUCGUUUCUGCUGAGCCACGACGGGCACUCCCAAAUCUUUUUUUCCUUUUUAGGGCCGUACCUGCGGCACAUGGAAGUUCCCAGCCUAGGAGACAAAUUGGAGCUAUAGCUGCCGGCCUGCGCCACAGCCACAGCAAUGUGGGAUCUGACAGGCUUACUUUUAAUAACUGUUCCAAGCUCUGCCCAAGCAUUUGCUGCCUCCGGGAAGCCUUCCUAAAGCUGUAAGUCGCUGGCCAGGCGCCCAGGCACCCUGUGUUUCUCCCAGUGUUUUCUCUCCCCAGCACCUAUGAGCUCAGCCCCCAGCCCAAGCCGAGCCCAGGUGUGUGCUCAAGAAAUUGUCUAAACAGGUCCUGAGCCUCCAUCUGGCACCCUGAGGAAGCACCACCACCAGCCAGUGUGGCCAAGGGGAGCCCAGGACUCUAGGUUCCAGCCUGUGCUGGAGCCCCCCAGCCCCCAGGCCACCCUGGCCCUUUCUCCUCUCUUGCCAGGCUCUUCUCCCCAGGCUGCCCAGCCCAGCUCCCCACGCCCUGCUGCAGCUCCCCACGGUAGCCUCACUCCUGCCUGCUUUUUAUAAAAUGGGCUUUGGGGAACAGUUUUAUUUGUUGUAUUUGUUUUGUCUUUUUAGGGCCGCACCUGCGGCAUAUGGAGGUUCCCAGGCUAGGGGCUGAAUCGGAGCUGUAGCCGCCGGCCGGCACCAUAGCCACAGCCAAGCCAGAUCUGAGCGGGAACAGUUUUAUUUGAAUAAAAAGGUUUCAGCUACUAAAAAAUUAGAAUUUAAACAUUGGUAACAAGACCUGGGAAUACAGUCCAAAUUGCUUAAUCACAGGAACCGGUUCUUGGACCCUUUCUGCACGCUGGGCGCUUGCAUACAUUAAUCUCCACAGCCUCGAGAGGUAUCUGACAGAAACCUGUUUGGGGGAAGAGGCGGCAUGUUCAGCCGCCUGCUCUGGUCCCUCUGUGGAGGCCCAGCUCAGAGGCUCCUUCCCUGGCUGAGGUUUCUGCCCUCUUCCUCUACCUGCCCAGCUCCGUGGGCCUCUCCCACAGCCGCCUUAUCUCAUUCACUGCAGGGUUCAGAGCUCUGCGAGCUUAUCUUAUCCUUGUGCUGGUCCCAGACUCCUUGAGGGCAAAGUCCAGGACUCAUUCAUCCUCCUCGUCUGGGCAGCCCCAACACAGUGCGGCCAUAAAAAAGGAAAAAAAGAAAGGAAACUUGUGCAAGGCAGACCCAGCUCCCUCUGACUGGCUCCUUGAUCACCAUGGACCUGUGCCCUUUUUCCGGCAGGCCCUGGGGUGGGCCUGUGCAUGUCUUGCCUCGCCAGGAUCCUGA
RNAcentral lists this long non-coding RNA (1357 nucleotides) under Sus scrofa (pig). RNAcentral describes it as "lncRNA (ENSSSCG00025068095.1)". Lineage: Eukaryota; Metazoa; Chordata; Mammalia; Artiodactyla; Suidae. The record is from RNAcentral.